CAAAAAAUCUAAUUUCUUUUACAGGACCCAGAUGCUAUACAGUGGGAAAACCAGCCUGGCAACAUAGUGCGUAUUAAUAAAAGGACACCACAUCCUGCCAAAUUCCAGCUGCGCUAAUUGUAUUGUGUUCACAGAGCUCACAAGCUAUCAGAAAGUUGUAUGGCAACCACCUCCGGCGCCAAAUAGAACUGGCAGACAUAGACAUUCAGUACAAGAAGAAAAAGAUGGAAAAUCUUGCACUGGAGUCCGAAAUAAAAAAGAGGACAAUUUGGAAACUGGACCUUGAAAUAAAAAAACUUGAGAGGGAGCUCCAAGAAGAUGACACAGCUCAAAAUAAAAAUUAGCAAUCAGUACAACCAAGUCAUCGUUAUAAGGCAUCGCCCUCUUUUGCCCACCCCCCAGCACCAGGUGUGGCCACUAGCCUAUAUGAAGGCCCAAAAUUGUGUGUUCCUUUCUGCUCUGACAAUGGCAUGCCCAUUCGUGCGAGAUGUGGUGGAUGAAGAAGCACUUGUGCUGAGGAGAGCCUUCAGGCGAGAAAGGGUCUUCAGGGACCGGUUGGACCCACUGGCCUUCCUGAUGACCAUCUAUAUGAAAGAUACAGGUUUUCUGCAGAUGG
Molecule: long non-coding RNA, 616 nt
Organism: Oncorhynchus nerka (sockeye salmon)
Lineage: Eukaryota; Metazoa; Chordata; Actinopteri; Salmoniformes; Salmonidae
Exons: 3
Source: RefSeq, a predicted model, not a curated record